CCGGGUACAGAGGGCGGCGAAGCCGCGAGGUGGAGCGAAUCCCAAAAAGCCGGUCUAAGUUCGGAUUGCAGGCUGCAACCCGCCUGCAUGAAGUCGGAAUCGCUAGUAAUCGCGAGUCAGCAUAUCGCGGUGAAUACGUUCCCGGGUCUUGUACACACCGCCCGUCACACCAUGGGAGUUGGCAACACCCGAAGUCGAUGAGCUAACCGCAAGGAGGCAGUCGCCUAAGGUGGGGUUGAUAACUGGGGUGAAGUCGUAACAAGGUACC
Molecule: ribosomal RNA, 268 nt
Filed under: uncultured bacterium
Lineage: Bacteria
Description: partial 16S ribosomal RNA
Rfam family: Bacterial small subunit ribosomal RNA
Source: RNAcentral